RNAcentral lists this ribosomal RNA (455 nucleotides) under uncultured bacterium. RNAcentral describes it as "bacterial SSU rRNA". It matches the Rfam family "Bacterial small subunit ribosomal RNA", at positions 8 to 507 of the family's 1533-position model. The record is from RNAcentral.
AGAGUUUGAUCAUGGCUCAGAGCGAACGCUGGCGGCAGGCUUAACACAUGCGAGUCGAGCGGGCGUAGCAAUACGUCAGCGGCAGACGGGUGAGUAACGCGUAGGAACAUACCUUUUGGUUCGGAACAACACAGGGAAACUUGUGCUAAUACCGGAUAAGCCCUUACGGGGAAAGAUUUAUCGCCGAAAGAUUGGCCCGCGUCUGAUUAGCUAGUUGGUAGGGUAAUGGCCUACCAAGGCGACGAUCUGUAGCGGGUCUGAGAGGAUGAUCAGCCACACUGGGACUGAGACACGGCCCAGACUCCUACGGGAGGCAGCAGUGAGGAAUAUUGGACAAUGGGCGCAAGCCUGAUCCAGCCAUGCCGCGUGAGUGAAGAAGGCCUUCGGGUUGUAAAGCUCUUUCAGAUGUGAAGAUAAUGACGGUAGCAUCAGAAGAAGCCCCGGCUAAAUUCGUG